CCAAAGACUUGGUUAACUUAUCGCUGUUAUUUCCCCAGACAGCAGUGUGUGACCGCCAGUCCUCACUACGCACGGACUUCACGGACCCACACAGCACUGCGCACGGAGAAAGAGAUAUAGAGAGAGAGAAGGCCGAGCACCUUGGCUAUUUACCCCACUUACUGUAUUCUCUGUACAUGGUCCUUGAGAUGCCCUUUGAUUUCACAGCUGAAACAUGUCCUCACUGUGUGCAAGUGCAGGAAGAGCAGGAGACUGAAAUUUGCAGCAGGGUAUGUUUUUUAUAUCUCAAAUAGGGGCACUUAAGAAAAAAAAAAUACAAUCAAAACUUGAUAAUGCUUGCUACACCCUGACUAAAGCUCAUGACCUUUUAGUAUUAUGUGUUAUUGAAUGCACAGUAUUAUUGAAGGUAUUUUCAACACUUCAUUCCAUUUGUUUGUAUACCUUAUUCAGGAGCCAAGGAUAACAAAAGACCUCCACACUGCAUUUGGAUGGAUGCAUAAAAACUUCAGAGGUUUGGUGAAAAAGCUGAGGUUCCUCCAACUGAAAGAGGAAGACCAGAA
Long non-coding RNA from Cyprinus carpio carpio, 560 nucleotides. Lineage: Eukaryota; Metazoa; Chordata; Actinopteri; Cypriniformes; Cyprinidae. The record is from Ensembl.